Molecule: ribosomal RNA, 375 nt
Filed under: uncultured bacterium
Lineage: Bacteria
Description: partial 16S ribosomal RNA
Rfam family: Bacterial small subunit ribosomal RNA
Source: RNAcentral
CCUACGGGUGGCUGCAGUGAGGAAUAUUGGUCAAUGGGCGGAAGCCUGAACCAGCAAAGUAGCGUGCAGGAUGAAGGCCCUACGGGUUGUAAACUGCUUUUAUACGGGAAUAACGCGCCUUACGUGUAGGGCUUUGCAUGUACCGUAUGAAUAAGGACCGGCUAAUUCCGUGCCAGCAGCCGCGGUAAUACGGCGGGUGCGGGCGUUAUCCGGAUUUAUUGGGUUUAAAGGGAGCGUAGGCCGCAUGUCAAGCGUGCUGUGAAAUGGCCUGGCUCAACCCGGGCCUUGCAGCGGAAACUGGCGGGCUUGAGUCCGCGGAAAGCAGGCGGAAUUCGUAGUGUAGCGGUGAAAUGCUGAGAUAUGACGAAGAACCCC